AUGUCGUCUCUGGGCUCAAGUGGAGGCAGUUCCCUGCUGCAGGUUCCAGGAGCUCUCCCCACCAUCAGCCACGCUUCACUGGGGUCCGGACGCAGCUCCAGGCCAAUGAUCUGCCUCAGCGCUUCUCAGAGCUUCGACAGACACUCGGCACACAGGCUGAGUCCAGCUGACAGCGUAGAGGGAUGCAGGUUCAGCCCAGCCCACAGGGCAAACAGACACAGACUCAACUCAGCUCAUAGUAUAGACGGGUAUAAGUUCAGCCCGACUCGUCGGCUGAACAGACACAGACUCAGCUCUGCACACAGUAUGGACGGGUACAGGCUGAAUCCAGAUCCAAGCUCAGACAGACCAAAGCUUCUGUCCAGCCACAGUAUUGACAAAUAUCCAUCAGUCAGGCUGAGUCUGACCCACUCCGGCAGCAGACAGUCCUCUUUGUGGCUCAGUCCUGAGAACAGUCUGGACAGAAAUAAGCUCAGUCCCUCCUACGUCCCAGAGAGUUCAGUCAUGAAGAGACCAGCAUCUUUCCACACCGUGAGCAGGCGGCUACGGAGACAGGAGGCUGUGCGGAGUGACUCUCUGGAUCAGAGCGGCUCAGCUGAUGACCUAGCAGAGCCCUGCCUCACUGUGCCCACUGCCUCCCCCUCUCUUGCACGGCAGCGAUCAUCCAGUGUGCACACACUGAAAUACACACUCCCCCAGAGGGUGAUCUCAUGCAGGAGCCACAGCCGGAGCCACAGUGAAGCUACAGCACAUGAACAUGUGUCUGAGCAGGCCAUCUGUGGCGCUCAGCCACCAACAGAUGUAGAAAAGAGGCCUGUCAGCCCAGAGGGGCUGUCCAGUUUGAAGGUCACCAGCAACGAAGUCAUACUUUUAUCUCCCUGCCCUGGUGCCGGAUCAGACCCCGCCCCCCAGUUAGACGAUGCUGAUGAGGAAGUCAGUCAGAUAAACAGUCCGGUUCACUCACAGCCUCCUAAUAGCUCCCUACACAAAAGCGGACACCUUUCUCCAAGUCCCUCAGAGCACAGGACCCGCCUCAGCCACUCGGCGUCACCUGUUACAGGCAAAAGCAGGAAACAGAGGAUAAGCCCGCCACCGGGAGACGAACCAGUCGCAAUGGCAACACAGCUAAUGGACACCAACGUAGAGCUGAGAAGGCGAACUCUGUCAUUUGAUGCCACAAGUCUCCCUCCUCAUCAGCAGGAGGGAGGGUCUGUUGAUGACUGA
This 1224-nucleotide long non-coding RNA is filed under the name Nothobranchius furzeri (turquoise killifish). Its description in RNAcentral is "lncRNA (ENSNFUG00015021808.1)". Lineage: Eukaryota; Metazoa; Chordata; Actinopteri; Cyprinodontiformes; Nothobranchiidae. The record is from RNAcentral.